RNAcentral lists this ribosomal RNA (354 nucleotides) under bacterium LimB-1-A-279. Its description in RNAcentral is "bacterial SSU rRNA". It matches the Rfam family "Bacterial small subunit ribosomal RNA", at positions 289 to 635 of the family's 1533-position model. The record is from RNAcentral.
UGUCUGAGAGGAUGAUCCGCCACACUGGGACUGAGACACGGCCCAGACUCCUAUGGGAGGCAGCAGUGGGGAAUUUUGGACAAUGGGCGUAAGCCUGAUCCAGCCAUGCCGCGUGUCUGAAGAAGGCCUUCGGGUUGUAAAGGACUUUUGUCCGGGAGCAAAUCCCAGUGGUUAAUACCUACUGGGGCUGAGAGUACCGGAAGAAUAAGCACCGGCUAACUACGUGCCAGCAGCCGCGGUAAUACGUAGGGUGCAAGCGUUAAUCGGAAUUACUGGGCGUAAAGCGUGCGCAGGCGGUUGUGCAAGUCUGAUGUGAAAGCCCCGGGCUUAACCUGGGAACGGCAUUGGAGACUG